CGUAGGGUCCAAGCGUUAUCCGGAAUUACUGGGCGUAAAGAGUUGCGUAGGUGGCAUUGUAAGUUGAUAGUGAAAGCGUUCGGCUCAACCGGAUAUCCAUUAUCAAAACUGCAAAGCUAGAGGACGAGAGAGGUUAUUGGAAUUCCCUGUGUAGGAGUGAAAUCCGUAGAUAUAGGGAGGAACACCGAUGGCGUAGGCAGAUAACUGGCUCGUUCUGACACUAAGGCACGAAAGCGUGGGUAGCAAACGGGAUU
RNAcentral lists this ribosomal RNA (254 nucleotides) under uncultured bacterium. Its description in RNAcentral is "partial 16S ribosomal RNA". It matches the Rfam family "Bacterial small subunit ribosomal RNA", at positions 526 to 779 of the family's 1533-position model. The record is from RNAcentral.